GGUCAAGUUAAAAAGAGCACUAGGAGAAUGCCUAGGCACCAAGAGGCGAAGAAGGACGUGACAAGCUGCGAAAAGCUGAGGUUAGCUGCAAAUAAGCCAAGCCUCAGAUAUCCGAAUGGGGAAACCCACCUCAAAAGAGGAAUCCUAUAGCCAAUAAAUAACUAUAGGAAGCGAACCAGGUGAACUGAAACAUCUAAGUAACCUGAGGAAGAGAAAGAAAACUCGAUUCCCAAAGUAGCGGCGAGCGAACAGGGAAGAGCCCAAACGUGUAAAAAGAGAAAAUAGCCAGUCGAAUCAUCUGGGAAGACGAACCAAAGAAGGUAACAGUCCCGUAGACGAAGGCGAAGAUAUCCGACACAAAAGAGUACCACGGAACACGAGAAAUUCAGUGGGAAUACAGGGGGACCACCCCCUAAGGCUAAAUACUACUUGGUGACCGAUAGCGAACAAGUACCGUGAGGGAAAGGUGAAAAGAACCCCGGGAGGGGAGUGAAAUAGAAUCUGAAACCUAGUGUUUACAAGCAGCGAAAGUGGCAAAAGCCACGAUCGUGUACUUUUUGUAGAACGGGCCAGCGAGUUACGAUUACAAGCAAGGUUAAACAUUAAAGAUGUGGAGCCGAAGCGAAAGCGAGUCUAAAGAGGGCAAAAGUUAGUAGUCGUAGACCCGAAACCGUGUGAUCUAUCCAUGAGCAGAGUGAAGUUGAAGUAAAAUUCAAUGGAGGCUCGAACCGGGUAGCGUUUAAAAGCUAUCGGAUGACUUGUGGAUAGGGGUGAAAAGCCAAACGAACACGGAGAUAGCUGGUUCUCCUCGAAAUAGCUUUAGGGCUAGCCUCUAGCAAGAAUGAAAAGGGGGUAGAGCACUGACUGGUCAAGGGGCAUGCAUAUGUUACCGAGACCUAUCAAACUCCGAAUACCAAAUCAUACGCUAGGGAGUCAGACUAUGGGGGAUGAGCUUCAUAGUCGAAAGGGAAAGAGCCCAGACCAUCAGCUAAGGUCCCAAAAUUAUAGUUAAGUGGGAAAGGAUGUGGAGUUACUGAGACAACUAGGAUGUUGGCUUAGAAGCAGCCACUCAUUUAAAGAGUGCGUAAUAGCUCACUAGUCAAGUGACUCUGCGCCGAAGAUAACCGGGGCUAAACUAUAUACCGAAGCUAUGGAACGAAAAACGUUGGUAGAGGAGCAAUGUAUGAAGGAAGAAGCAGAAGUUGAAAAGCACUGUGGACAUCAUACAAGAGAGAAUGCUGGCAUGAGUAGCGAGAGGUGAGUGAGAAUCUCACCCGUCGAAAACCUAAGGAUUCCUGAGCAAGGCUCGUCCACUCAGGGUAAGUCGGGACCUAAGGCGAGGCUGAAAAGCGUAGUCGAUGGACAACAGGUUGAAAAUCCUGUACCGAUACAAUCAGUGAGGAAGUGGGGACGCAGAAGGAUAAUAAGAGCGCCCAGUUGGUGAGGCGUGCAAGCGCAAAGGAUGGAAAGUAGGCAAAUCCGCUUUCCGAGAAGUCUAAAGCGUGAUGCGGAUCGAAAACAAGUAGAGAAGCUUAUAACUCCACACUGCCAAGAAAAGCCACUACAAGAGAAGUAUCGCCCGUACCGCAAACCGACACAGGUAGGUGAGGAGAGAAUCCUAAGACGAGCGGAAAAACCUUUGUUAAGGAACUCGGCAAAAUGACCCCGUAACUUCGGGAGAAGGGGAGCCCCUGUAAAAGGGGGCCGCAGUGAAAAGGCCCAAGCGACUGUUUACCAAAAACACAAGUUUCUGCGAAGUCGAAAGACGAAGUAUAGGAGCUGACACCUGCCCGGUGCUGGAAGGUUAAGGGAAAAAGUUAGCAUAAGCGAAGCUUAGAACUGAAGCCCCAGUAAACGGCGGCCGUAACUAUAACGGUCCUAAGGUAGCGAAAUUCCUUGUCGGGUAAGUUCCGACCCGCACGAAAGGUGUAACGAUUUGGG
Molecule: ribosomal RNA, 1941 nt
Filed under: Cutibacterium avidum
Lineage: Bacteria; Bacillati; Actinomycetota; Actinomycetes; Propionibacteriales; Propionibacteriaceae
Also listed under: 1 other name
Description: partial 23S ribosomal RNA
Rfam family: Bacterial large subunit ribosomal RNA
Source: RNAcentral